GACGAACGCUGGCGGCGUGCUUAACACAUGCAAGUCGAACGGAAAGGCCCUGCUUUUGUGGGGUGCUCGAGUGGCGAACGGGUGAGUAACACGUGAGUAACCUGCCCUUGACUUUGGGAUAACUUCAGGAAACUGGGGCUAAUACCGGAUAGGAGCUCCUGCUGCAUGGUGGGGGUUGGAAAGUUUCGGCGGUUGGGGAUGGACUCGCGGCUUAUCAGCUUGUUGGUGGGGUAGUGGCUUACCAAGGCUUUGACGGGUAGCCGGCCUGAGAGGGUGACCGGCCACAUUGGGACUGAGAGACGGCCCAGACUGCUACGGGAGGCAGCAGUGGGGAGUAUUGCACAAUGGGCGGAAGCCUGAUGCAGCAACGCCGCGUGCGGGAUGACGGCCUUCGGGUUGUAAACCGCUUUCGCCUGUGACGAAGCGUGAGUGACGGUAAUGGGUAAAGAAGCACCGGCUAACUACGUG
Molecule: ribosomal RNA, 468 nt
Filed under: uncultured bacterium
Lineage: Bacteria
Description: partial 16S ribosomal RNA
Rfam family: Bacterial small subunit ribosomal RNA
Source: RNAcentral